This 974-nucleotide ribosomal RNA is filed under the name uncultured bacterium. RNAcentral's name for it is "bacterial SSU rRNA". It matches the Rfam family "Bacterial small subunit ribosomal RNA", at positions 376 to 1360 of the family's 1533-position model. The record is from RNAcentral.
CGGAAGCCUGAUGCAGCAACGCCGCGUGAGGGAUGACGGCCUUCGGGUUGUAAACCUCUUUUAGCAGGGAAGAAGCGAAAGUGACGGUACCUGCAGAAAAAGCGCCGGCUAACUACGUGCCAGCAGCCGCGGUAAUACGUAGGGCGCAAGCGUUAUCCGGAAUUAUUGGGCGUAAAGAGCUCGUAGGCGGUUUGUCGCGUCUGCUGUGAAAUCCCGAGGCUCAACCUCGGGUCUGCAGUGGGUACGGGCAGACUAGAGUGCGGUAGGGGAGAUUGGAAUUCCUGGUGUAGCGGUGGAAUGCGCAGAUAUCAGGAGGAACACCGAUGGCGAAGGCAGAUCUCUGGGCCGUAACUGACGCUGAGGAGCGAAAGGGUGGGGAGCAAACAGGCUUAGAUACCCUGGUAGUCCACCCCGUAAACGUUGGGAACUAGUUGUGGGGACCAUUCCACGGUUUCCGUGACGCAGCUAACGCAUUAAGUUCCCCGCCUGGGGAGUACGGCCGCAAGGCUAAAACUCAAAGGAAUUGACGGGGACCCGCACAAGCGGCGGAGCAUGCGGAUUAAUUCGAUGCAACGCGAAGAACCUUACCAAGGCUUGACAUAUACGAGAACGGGCCAGAAAUGGUCAACUCUUUGGACACUCGUAAACAGGUGGUGCAUGGUUGUCGUCAGCUCGUGUCGUGAGAUGUUGGGUUAAGUCCCGCAACGAGCGCAACCCUCGUUCUAUGUUGCCAGCACGUAAUGGUGGGAACUCAUGGGAUACUGCCGGGGUCAACUCGGAGGAAGGUGGGGAUGACGUCAAAUCAUCAUGCCCCUUAUGUCUUGGGCUUCACGCAUGCUACAAUGGCCGGUACAAAGGGCUGCAAUACCGUGAGGUGGAGCGAAUCCCAAAAAGCCGGUCCCAGUUCGGAUUGAGGUCUGCAACUCGACCUCAUGAAGUCGGAGUCGCUAGUAAUCGCAGAUCAGCAACGCUGC